RNAcentral lists this ribosomal RNA (327 nucleotides) under uncultured eukaryote. RNAcentral's name for it is "partial 18S ribosomal RNA". It matches the Rfam family "Eukaryotic small subunit ribosomal RNA", at positions 1470 to 1796 of the family's 1831-position model. The record is from RNAcentral.
CCCUUAGAUGUUCGGAGCUGCACGCGCGCUACACUGAAGGAAGCAGCGUGUUAGAGCACCUGGCUUGAAAGAGCUGGGUAAUCCGGUGAAUGUCCUUCGUGAUUGGGAUAGGGACUUGUAAUUAUUUCCCUUGAACGAGGAAUACCUAGUAAGUGCGAGUCAUCAGCUUGCGCUGACUACGUCCCUGCCCUUUGUACACACCGCCCGUCGCUCCUACCGAUUGAGUGCUCAGGUGAAUAAUUCGGACUGCAGCAAUGUUUGGAUCCCGAACGUUGCAGCGGAAAGUUUAGUGAACCUUAUCACUUAGAGGAAGGAGAAGUCGUAACA